UGGGGAAUUUUGGACAAUGGGGGCAACCCUGAUCCAGCAAUGCCGCGUGUGUGAAGAAGGCCUUCGGGUUGUAAAGCACUUUUGUCCGGAAAGAAAUGGCCCUGGCUAAUACCCGGGGUCGAUGACGGUACCGGAAGAAUAAGCACCGGCUAACUACGUGCCAGCAGCCGCGGUAAUACGUAGGGUGCGAGCGUUAAUCGGAAUUACUGGGCGUAAAGCGUGCGCAGGCGGUUUUGUAAGACAGGCGUGAAAUCCCCGGGCUCAACCUGGGAAUUGCGCUUGUGACUGCAAGGCUAGAGUGCGUCAGAGGGGGGUAGAAUUCCACGUGUAGCAGUGAAAUGCGUAGAGAUGUGGAGGAAUACCGAUGGCGAAGGCAGCCCCCUGGGACGUGACUGACGCUCAUGCACGAAAGCGUGGGGAGCAAACA
Molecule: ribosomal RNA, 427 nt
Filed under: uncultured Cupriavidus sp.
Lineage: Bacteria; Pseudomonadati; Pseudomonadota; Betaproteobacteria; Burkholderiales; Burkholderiaceae
Description: bacterial SSU rRNA
Rfam family: Bacterial small subunit ribosomal RNA
Source: RNAcentral